GGCGGACGGGUGAGUAACACGUGGGUAACCUACCCAUCAGAGGGGGAUAACACUUGGAAACAGGUGCUAAUACCGCAUAACAGUUUAUGCCGCAUGGCAUAAGAGUGAAAGGCGCUUUCGGGUGUCGCUGAUGGAUGGACCCGCGGUGCAUUAACUAGUUGGUGAGGUAACGGCUCACCAAGGCCACGAUGCAUAGCCGACCUGAGAGGGUGAUCGGCCACACUGGGACUGAGACACGGCCCAGACUCCUACGGGAGGCAGCAGUAGGGAAUCUUCGGCAAUGGACGAAAGUCUGACCGAGCAACGCCGCGUGAGUGAAGAAGGUUUUCGGAUCGUAAAACUCUGUUGUUAGAGAAGAACAAGGACGUUAGUAACUGAACGUCCCCUGACGGUAUCUAACCAGAAAGCCACGGCUAACUACGUGCCAGCAGCCGCGGUAAUACGUAGGUGGCAAGCGUUGUCCGGAUUUAUUGGGCGUAAAGCGAGCGCAGGCGGUUUCUUAAGUCUGAUGUGAAAGCCCCCGGCUCAACCGGGGAGGGUCGUUGGACACUGCGAGACUUGAGUGCAGAAGAGGAGAGUGGAAUUCCAUGUGUAGCGGUGAAAUGCGUAGAUAUAUGGAGGAACACCAGUGGGCGAAGGCGGCUCUCUGGUCUGUAACUGACGCUGACGCUCGAAAGCGUGGGGAGCAAACAAGAUUAGAUA
Molecule: ribosomal RNA, 702 nt
Filed under: Enterococcus faecalis
Lineage: Bacteria; Bacillati; Bacillota; Bacilli; Lactobacillales; Enterococcaceae
Description: bacterial SSU rRNA
Rfam family: Bacterial small subunit ribosomal RNA
Source: RNAcentral